AUUUCUAAAAAUAAAAUAAUGUAGCAUUGUAAUUAUUUAAAAAUUGUUAGUUUAUUUUUGUUAGUGAGCUAGGUCGAGGAUUUUUUGUUUGCACAACCAAUUGCUAUUAUUAAUUUAAAAGUCCAAUGAGUGGAGAUAGAUACAACCAGAGGUACGGCAAAACGAUAAACGAAAAAAACUACAACAUUCUGGCGCAUUUUCUAUCUCGAGUCAGACUUGUAUGCCGUCACCCAUUUCUCUGUACAACCGGAAAUCUAUUUCCCAGUCCAGGCAGGCAAGGCCUCUCCACAUCUCACUUCAACGUCAUCUAAAUUCAUCAUCUCCUGACUUUGUCAACUGCUAUUUCUUAGACCGUCGACGAUUCUGUGUGUAGUCCUACCCCGACAGCCUCUUCACAC
Molecule: long non-coding RNA, 398 nt
Filed under: Brassica napus (rape)
Lineage: Eukaryota; Viridiplantae; Streptophyta; Magnoliopsida; Brassicales; Brassicaceae
Description: long non-coding RNA (BNAP_LNC005045)
Source: RNAcentral